GGUGGCUCAGUGGUAGAGUGCUUGCCUAGCAUGCAUGAGGCCUUGGGUUCGAUUCCUCAGCACCA
Molecule: non-coding RNA, 65 nt
Organism: Dipodomys ordii (Ord's kangaroo rat)
Lineage: Eukaryota; Metazoa; Chordata; Mammalia; Rodentia; Heteromyidae
Source: Rfam